RNAcentral lists this microRNA precursor (71 nucleotides) under Murid gammaherpesvirus 4 (Murine herpesvirus 68). Its description in RNAcentral is "microRNA mghv-mir-M1 precursor (mghv-mir-M1-8)". Its record names the gene mghv-mir-M1-8. Lineage: Duplodnaviria; Heunggongvirae; Peploviricota; Herviviricetes; Herpesvirales; Orthoherpesviridae. The record is from miRBase by way of RNAcentral.
UUUACCAGCACUCACUGGGGGUUUGGUCAGGAGAUCAAGUAGAUCUGACCAACCCUAAGUGAGUUUUUCUU